This 178-nucleotide small nuclear RNA is filed under the name Phytopythium vexans DAOM BR484. RNAcentral's name for it is "Pythium vexans DAOM BR484 snRNA EPrPVex00000013101". The record is from RNAcentral. Lineage: Eukaryota; Oomycota; Peronosporomycetes; Pythiales; Pythiaceae.
UCGGCUUAAACUCAAUGAGUAAGGAAACUAGCGCUCUACCUGACAAGUAGGGUUGCUCUCUAGGUCCAGCUCGACCUAGGAGCGCAUUUCAAAUUUCUGACGGAGGUGGAAUGGCUGUCUAGCGCAUUCCGACCCUUGUACUUUUGGGGUCGUCUGUUCUAGGGGGUCGGUCCCCGCC